This 218-nucleotide ribosomal RNA is filed under the name Providencia stuartii. Its description in RNAcentral is "partial 16S ribosomal RNA". It matches the Rfam family "Bacterial small subunit ribosomal RNA", at positions 1 to 216 of the family's 1533-position model. The record is from RNAcentral. Lineage: Bacteria; Pseudomonadati; Pseudomonadota; Gammaproteobacteria; Enterobacterales; Morganellaceae.
UUAAUUGAAGAGUUUGAUCAUGGCUCAGAUUGAACGCUGGCGGCAGGCCUAACACAUGCAAGUCGAGCGGUAACAGGGGAAGCUUGCUUCCCGCUGACGAGCGGCGGACGGGUGAGUAAUGUAUGGGGAUCUGCCCGAUAGAGGGGGAUAACUACUGGAAACGGUGGCUAAUACCGCAUAAUCUCUUAGGAGCAAAGCAGGGGACCUUCGGGCCUUGC